AGUGAACGCUGGCGGCGUGCUUAACACAUGCAAGUCGAACGAGAACGGAAUAUAGCUUGCUAUAUUUGUCAGCUAAGUGGCGCACGGGUGAGUAAUGUAUAGAUAACCUGCCCUUAAGAAAGGAAUAACAGUUGGAAACGACUGCUAAUGCCCUAUAUGCCUUUAAUACAUAAGUAUGCAAGGGAAACGCUUUAGUGCUUAAGGAUGGGUCUGUAUGGUAUCAGCUUGUUGGUGAGGUAAUGGCUCACCAAGGCUAUGACGCCUAACCGGUUUGAGAGGAUGAUCAGUCACACUGGAACUGAGACGCGGUCCAGACUCCUACGGGAGGCAGCAGUGGGGAAUAUUGCACAAUGGACGAAAGUCUGAUGCAGCAACGCCGCGUGGAGGAUGACACAUUUCGGUGCGUAAACUCCUUUUAUAUAGGAAGAUAAUGACGGUACUAUAUGAAUAAGCACCGGCUAACUCCGUGCCAGCAGCCGCAGUAA
RNAcentral lists this ribosomal RNA (485 nucleotides) under uncultured bacterium. RNAcentral describes it as "partial 16S ribosomal RNA". It matches the Rfam family "Bacterial small subunit ribosomal RNA", at positions 29 to 523 of the family's 1533-position model. The record is from RNAcentral.